This 520-nucleotide ribosomal RNA is filed under the name uncultured Glomeromycotina. RNAcentral describes it as "SSU rRNA". It matches the Rfam family "Eukaryotic small subunit ribosomal RNA", at positions 569 to 1090 of the family's 1831-position model. Lineage: Eukaryota; Fungi; Glomeromycota. The record is from RNAcentral.
AGCAGCCGCGGUAAUUCCAGCUCCAAUAGCGUAUAUUAAAGUUGUUGCAGUUAAAAAGCUCGUAGUUGAAUUUCGGGGUUAGUAGGUUGGUCGUGCCACUGGUAUGUACUGGUUCUACUGAUCCCUCCUUCUUGUAGAACCGUAAUGCCAUUCACUUGGUGUUGCGGGGAAACAGGACUGUUACUUUGAAAAAAUUAGAGUGUUUAAAGCAGGCUAACGCUUGAAUACAUUAGCAUGGAAUAAUGAAAUAGGACGUUCGAUCCUAUUUUGUUGGUUUCUAGGAUUGACGUAAUGAUUAAUAGGGAUAGUUGGGGGCAUUAGUAUUCAAUUGUCAGAGGUGAAAUUCUUGGAUUUAUUGAAGACUGACUACUGCGAAAGCAUUUGCCAAGGAUGUUUUCAUUAAUCAAGAACGAAAGUUAGGGGAUCGAAGACGAUCAGAUACCGUCGUAGUCUUAACCAUAAACUAUGCCGACUAGGGAUCGGAUGAUGUUAAUUUUUUAAUGACUCAUUCGGCGCCUUA